GACGAACGCUGGCGGCGUGCCUAAUACAUGCAAGUAGAACGCUGAAGGAGGAGCUUGCUUCUCCGGAUGAGUUGCGAACGGGUGAGUAACGCGUAGGUAACCUGCCUGGUAGCGGGGGAUAACUAUUGGAAACGAUAGCUAAUACCGCAUAACAGUAGAUGUUGCAUGACAUUUGCUUAAAAGGUGCAAUUGCAUCACUACCAGAUGGACCUGCGUUGUAUUAGCUAGUUGGUGAGGUAACGGCUCACCAAGGCGACGAUACAUAGCCGACCUGAGAGGGUGAUCGGCCACACUGGGACUGAGACACGGCCCAGACUCCUACGGGAGGCAGCAGUAGGGAAUCUUCGGCAAUGGACGGAAGUCUGGCCGAGCAACGCCGCGUGAGUGAAGAAGGUUUUCGGAUCGUAAAGCUCUGUUGUAAGAGAAGAACGAGUGUGAGAGUGGAAAGUUCACACUGUGACGGUAUCUUACCAGAAAGGGACGGCUAACUACGUG
RNAcentral lists this ribosomal RNA (495 nucleotides) under uncultured bacterium. RNAcentral describes it as "partial 16S ribosomal RNA". It matches the Rfam family "Bacterial small subunit ribosomal RNA", at positions 28 to 507 of the family's 1533-position model. The record is from RNAcentral.